ACGAACGCUGGCGGCGUGCUUAACACAUGCAAGUCGAACGGUAAGGCCCCUUCGGGGGUACACGAGUGGCGAACGGGUGAGUAACACGUGAGCAACCUGCCUUUGACUCUGGAAUAACAGUUGGAAACAGCUGCUAAUACCGGAUAUGACCUCGACCGACAUCGAUCGAGGUGGAAAGCUCCGGCGGUCAAAGAUGGGCUCGCGGCCUAUCAGCUUGUUGGUGAGGUAACGGCUCACCAAGGCUUCGACGGGUAGCCGGCCUGAGAGGGCGACCGGCCACACUGGGACUGAGAUACGGCCCAGACUCCUACGGGAGGCAGCAGUGGGGAAUAUUGCACAAUGGGCGCAAGCCUGAUGCAGCAACGCCGCGUGCGGGAUGACGGCCUUCGGGUUGUAAACCGCUUUCAGUAGGGACGAAGCUAACGUGACGGUACCUACAGAAGAAGGACCGGCUAACUACGU
This 462-nucleotide ribosomal RNA is filed under the name uncultured bacterium. RNAcentral describes it as "bacterial SSU rRNA". It matches the Rfam family "Bacterial small subunit ribosomal RNA", at positions 29 to 506 of the family's 1533-position model. The record is from RNAcentral.